RNAcentral lists this ribosomal RNA (104 nucleotides) under Pinus radiata (Monterey pine). The record is from RNAcentral. Lineage: Eukaryota; Viridiplantae; Streptophyta; Pinopsida; Pinales; Pinaceae.
GGGUGCGAUCAUACUAGCGUUAAUGCAACGGAUCCCAUCAGAACUCCGCAGUUAAGCGCGCUUGGGCUAGAGUAGUACUGGGAUGGGUGACCUCCCGGGAAGUC